RNAcentral lists this ribosomal RNA (374 nucleotides) under uncultured bacterium. RNAcentral's name for it is "bacterial SSU rRNA". It matches the Rfam family "Bacterial small subunit ribosomal RNA", at positions 525 to 896 of the family's 1533-position model. The record is from RNAcentral.
ACGAACCGUGCGAACGUUAUUCGGAAUCACUGGGCUUAAAGCGCGUGUAGGCGGAUGGGAACGUCGGUUGUUGAAAGCCCCCGGCUCAACCGGGGAACUGGCACCGAAACGACCCGUCUGGAGGGACGUAGGGGGACCUGGAACUUCCGGUGGAGCGGUGAAAUGCGUUGAGAUCGGAAGGAACGCCCGUGGCGAAAGCGAGGUCCUGGACGUCUACUGACGCUGAGACGCGAAAGCUAGGGGAGCGAACGGGAUUAGAUACCCCGGUAGUCCUAGCUGUAAACGAUGGGCACUGGGUAGGGGGCUCGCCGAUGGGCUCUCUGCCGCAGGGAAACCGUGAAGUGCCCCGCCUGGGGAGUAUGGUCGCAAGGCUG